GUCCACGCCGUAAACGAUGUCAACUUGGAGUCUGUGCCAUUGAGCGUGGGCUCCGAAGCUAACGCGAUAAGUUGACCGCCUGGGGAGUACGGCCGCAAGGUUAAAACUCAAAUGAAUUGACGGGGGCCCGCACAAGCGGUGGAGCAUGUGGUUUAAUUCGAUGCAACGCGAAGAACCUUACCUGGCCUUGACAUGUCUGGAACCUUGUAGAGAUACGAGGGUGCCUUCGGGAAUCAGAACACAGGUGCUGCAUGGCUGUCGU
This 262-nucleotide ribosomal RNA is filed under the name uncultured bacterium. RNAcentral describes it as "partial 16S ribosomal RNA". It matches the Rfam family "Bacterial small subunit ribosomal RNA", at positions 793 to 1055 of the family's 1533-position model. The record is from RNAcentral.